Molecule: long non-coding RNA, 566 nt
Organism: Cercocebus atys (sooty mangabey)
Lineage: Eukaryota; Metazoa; Chordata; Mammalia; Primates; Cercopithecidae
Exons: 3
Source: RefSeq, a predicted model, not a curated record
AUAACAAGUACUACGCGAAGGAUAGGGUGGAGUCCCAGGCAUUGCUUGACGGCCGGACGCGGAGACGCCCACGUCUCCCGCAAGCGCACGCCUGAACCCAGGGCAGCCGGCUGGGGCGCCCAGGACCAGGCCUGGCCUACCGCGGGCUGCCCUUCACAGAGCUGCAGGAGAAAUCUAGUUGUAUUGUGCACGCAUUUCCUUAACCCUUACUAGUAUUUUUUUUGAUUGAUCAGUUUUUGAUGCGGACGCCUAAGUACCCUGCUGGUCCACAGCCAGGAUUAGAAUGAGGCAGGAGCCUCAGGUGCAGAAUUUAAGGAACCGCCAAAAGAGCUCCGUAAUGAAGAUGAGCAAUAUUUGGAUGCAACAUUUUUCAAAAUAAAAAUUAAUGCAAAAAAGUCUAUGAUUAGUAAAACGCUGCAAUUUUAAAUAAAAAAAAAUCUGACUGCAUUUUGACGACUCGAUCACCUCUCUUGCCUCACAGGAGUCUGGGCCCUAGAGAUAGCUUUUCGGUGAAGUGAACUUUUUUAUCUUUCGAUGGGAUCUUGCUCUGUCACCCAAGCCAGAGU